CAAAUAUUCAAACAUCUUCUUCUUUCACUCUCAUCACAUCAGUCUCUCUGUCUCUCACUCUCACUUCACUAGUAUUCACUGUAUCUCUUCUUUCCUUGCAAUUCCAUCUCUCUCUGCUAGAGCCACCAUUUCUUGCAGGGAAAACAAAAUUAAAAAUGGUGGCAUGCAUCAAAAGUUUUCCCAUUUCUAAUUCCCAUUUUACCCCUAUCUUAUUCACUUAUUUACUCCUCCUCUCCUUCUCCGCCUCAACCACUCCCAUUCUAGCCAUUAACAUCACCACUCUCCUUUCUUCCUAUCCUGACUUCUCCUCCUUCACUGCUCUUCUUUCCUCUACACCUUCCUUAGCUAAUGAACUCACCGGCUGCUCUUCCCUUACUCUUUUAGCCGUACCCAAUUCAUAUCUCUCCGCCUCCGUUGAUUUCACGCGCCACCUCUCCCCUUUCUCUCUUGCCGACCUCCUUCGCUACCAUGUCCUUUUGCAGUACUUCUCCUGGUCUGAACUCCAUCAGAUUCCUACCUCCGGUGUACUGGUUACCACUCUUUUCCAAACCACUGGACGCGCCGCCUCCAAUUCCGGCACGGUUAACAUUACCCGGAAUCCCAUCACCAACACCGUCACCAUCAACUCUCCGCCCCCUUACUCAACUUCAAACGCCACCGUUUUAUCUCUGGUUAAAACGCUCCCCUAUAACAUCUCCAUCAUCUCUGUGAAUUCCCUUUUAGUCCCCGACGGGUUCAAUCUCAUGGCAUCGGAGACUCGGCCUCCAUUAGGCCUGAACAUAACGAAAGCACUAAUUGAUGGGCAUAAUUUUUUCGUUGCAGCGUCGAUGCUAUCGGCUUCUGGGGUGGUGCAAGAAUUCGAAGCCGACGAAAGAGGUGCCGGAAUUACUCUCUUCGUCCCAACAGACACUGCUUUUGCAGAUCUGCCGGCCACCGUGAGCAUACAGUCACUGCCAGCUGAGAAAAAAGCUGUGGUCUUGAAGUUCCAUGUCUUGCAUUCGUAUUACCCACUGGGUUCCCUCGAGUCGAUUGUGAACCCAGUCCAACCCACAUUGGCCACGGAGGCCACAGGCGCCGGUAGCUACACUCUUAACAUCUCGCGAGUUAAUGGGUCGUUGGCAAUCAAUACAGGGAUAGUUCAGGCAUCGGUGACGCAAACGGUUUUUGAUGAGAAUCCAGUGGCGAUAUUUGGGAUGUCAAAAGUGUUGUUGCCGAGAGAGAUUUUUGGUAAGAAUCCGAUAUCAACGAGCAAGCCAGGAAAUGAGGUGAUGGGCACAGCUCAGCCACCGGAUAUUUCUCUCUCGCCAGAGAGUUCUACCGGAUACGAUGGGCAACCUUCUCAUCUGUCGUCACCGCCAGGUUUUAGAGAAGACAUUAAAUCUGGAGGAAGAGUUGCAGCGGCCAUUAAUGGAUUACAGAGCCUGAUUCUUGCUCUGUGCUGUACAGUAUUGUAUGUAGCGGUAUGAGGUUUUUAAUUAUUUUUGGUGAUAAUUAAUGAUUUUUCUGUCUCCCAAUUGGUGCACGGUGAUUAAAUUUGGCUAAAACAGCAGCUUUUUUUUAUCAGUUUUUGAUUUUUUGAAAAAUUUUUCCUUCCCUAUUUUUAUUUAUUGGAUUUCUUGAGGAACAUGUCUAAUUGUGAAUUUCAUCUUGUCAAUGUUUCAAUAAUUUAUAUAAAAAAAUGCCAUUUUGUUUGUUUUCUUUUGAUCUCUCUUCUUUAUGUGUGCUAGUGAUAUAUUCUAACUGUGAAGUAAGUGAUAUAUUUAUGUCUGACAUUAAAAGCUCCAGUUUACUCCAAUUUAAUAUCUGCCAAGUGAGACUAAAAUAAGCAAGACUAGCUAACUGAUGGUAGUAAAAGUUGAAAGCUUGAAAUUGGAAUCAGGUUUACUGAGUGUCUGGAUUAGAAAGGAAAUGAGAUGUUGGAAAAUUUUGGGGUUUAGAUUCCCAUGAAAUUCAUGAAACCCAGUUUGCCUUCUUUCUUGUGUCAAGCGUUCUUUUCCUGGAAAAUUCUGAAUUCUUCUGGGUUUUUCUAGAUCAAAGUAAAUUUUAUUUAUUUAUUUAUUUAAAUGGUAAAUUCUGAUGCUGAGUUGAGUUUUGGGCUUUGGAGGUGAACAGUGUAGGGCCAGAUUUAGUGUGACCAAUGGCAUUGGAUGAGGGGAAUCUACAGUGACACUGCUCAGAUGCCCUUUCUGAUUACUGUGUGUGUGUGUUUCUUUUUGAUGAGUCCAAAAGCCAGUUAAGUUAAUCAAGUUAAAAAGCCUGAUUGUGCGAUCAUCAGCAUGACAACACCCAUCCUGGCCUAGACUUCUUGUUCUGUUUUUUUCUUUUCAAGGUAGAGAACAGAUAUU
Molecule: unclassified non-coding RNA, 2345 nt
Filed under: Hevea brasiliensis (rubber tree)
Lineage: Eukaryota; Viridiplantae; Streptophyta; Magnoliopsida; Malpighiales; Euphorbiaceae
Source: RNAcentral